GUCGUCAGCUCGUGUCGUGAGAUGUUGGGUUAAGUCCCGCAACGAGCGCAACCCUCGCCUUUAGUUGCCAGCAUUCAGUUGGGCACUCUAAAGGGACUGCCGGUGUCAAACCGGAGGAAGGUGGGAUGACGUCAAGUCCUCAUGGCCUUUAUGUCUAGGGCUACACACGUACUACAAUGGCAGGUACAAAGGGCAGCGACACAGCGAUGUGAUGCGAAUCCCGAAAAGCCUGUCUCAGUCCGGAUCGGAGUCUGCAACUCGACUCCGUGAAGUUGGAAUCGCUAGUAAUCGUGGAUCAGCAUGCCACGGUGAAUACGUUCCCGGGCCUU
RNAcentral lists this ribosomal RNA (329 nucleotides) under uncultured Desulfovibrio sp. Its description in RNAcentral is "bacterial SSU rRNA". It matches the Rfam family "Bacterial small subunit ribosomal RNA", at positions 1051 to 1382 of the family's 1533-position model. The record is from RNAcentral. Lineage: Bacteria; Pseudomonadati; Thermodesulfobacteriota; Desulfovibrionia; Desulfovibrionales; Desulfovibrionaceae.